AGAGGUGAGAGGGUGGAAGGAUCAAGCGAAAAGGAAAAAGGACUCAUGGACAUGGACAACAGUGUGGUGAUUUCUGUGGGGAGAGGAAA
Molecule: long non-coding RNA, 89 nt
Organism: Phyllostomus discolor (pale spear-nosed bat)
Lineage: Eukaryota; Metazoa; Chordata; Mammalia; Chiroptera; Phyllostomidae
Exons: 3
Source: RefSeq, a predicted model, not a curated record